Molecule: ribosomal RNA, 164 nt
Filed under: uncultured bacterium
Lineage: Bacteria
Description: partial 16S rRNA
Rfam family: Bacterial small subunit ribosomal RNA
Source: RNAcentral
UAGGGAAUCUUCCACAAUGGACGAAAGUCUGAUGGAGCAACGCCGCGUGAGUGAAGAAGGUUUUCGGAUCGUAAAGCUCUGUUGUUGGUGAAGAAGGAUAGAGGCGGUAACUGGUCUUUAUUUGACGGUAAUCAACCAGAAAGUCACGGCUAACUACGUGCCAC